GAUAUGGAUCUUUAAAAAUUCUACCACUUCUAAGCUUAGAAAUUGCUUUGGCAUUCUCAAAUUGGGGAUUCUUAAGUGGGACAUUAGAUUGAUGACUUAGUCUAGGUGGUUGGUGGGUGGAUAGGUCGUUUCUGAGAUUUGGUACUGGUCGCUUGGCAAUUGACCUGGUUCUCUCCUCAUGGUAGACUCAGCUAAGUAUCCUAUUUGUGC
RNAcentral lists this long non-coding RNA (210 nucleotides) under Elaeis guineensis (African oil palm). RNAcentral's name for it is "long non-coding RNA (EGUI_LNC018943)". The record is from RNAcentral. Lineage: Eukaryota; Viridiplantae; Streptophyta; Magnoliopsida; Arecales; Arecaceae.